This 429-nucleotide ribosomal RNA is filed under the name Actinomycetes bacterium. RNAcentral's name for it is "Actinobacteria bacterium partial 16S ribosomal RNA". It matches the Rfam family "Bacterial small subunit ribosomal RNA", at positions 355 to 776 of the family's 1533-position model. The record is from RNAcentral. Lineage: Bacteria; Bacillati; Actinomycetota; Actinomycetes.
UAGGGAAUCUUCCGCAAUGGGCGAAAGCUUGACGGAGCAACGCCGCGUGAGUGAUGAAGGUCUUCGGAUCGUAAAACUCUGUUAUUAGGGAAGAACAAAUGUGUAAGUAACUAUGCACGUCUUGACGGUACCUAAUCAGAAAGCCACGGCUAACUACGUGCCAGCAGCCGCGGUAAUACGUAGGUGGCAAGCGUUCUCCGGAAUUAUUGGGCGUAAAGCGCGCGUAGGCGGUUUUUUAAGUCUGAUGUGAAAGCCCACGGCUCAACCGUGGAAGGUCAUUGGAAACUGGAAAACUUGAGUGCAGAAGAGGAAAGUGGAAUUCCAUGUGUAGCGGUGAAAUGCGCAGAGAUAUGGAGGAACACCAGUGGCGAAGGCGACUUUCUGGUCUGUAACUGACGCUGAUGUGCGAAAGCGUGGGGAUCAAACAGG